RNAcentral lists this ribosomal RNA (497 nucleotides) under uncultured bacterium. RNAcentral's name for it is "partial 16S ribosomal RNA". It matches the Rfam family "Bacterial small subunit ribosomal RNA", at positions 28 to 507 of the family's 1533-position model. The record is from RNAcentral.
GAUGAACGCUGGCGGCGUGCCUAAUACAUGCAAGUCGAGCGAACAGACGAGGAGCUUGCUCCUCUGACGUUAGCGGCGGACGGGUGAGUAACACGUGGAUAACCUACCUAUAAGACUGGGAUAACUUCGGGAAACCGGAGCUAAUACCGGAUAAUAUAUUGAACCGCAUGGUUCAAUAGUGAAAGAAGGUUUUGCUGUCACUUAUAGAUGGAUCCGCGCCGCAUUAGCUAGUUGGUAAGGUAACGGCUUACCAAGGCGACGAUGCGUAGCCGACCUGAGAGGGUGAUCGGCCACACUGGAACUGAGACACGGUCCAGACUCCUACGGGAGGCAGCAGUAGGGAAUCUUCCGCAAUGGGCGAAAGCCUGACGGAGCAACGCCGCGUGAGUGAUGAAGGUCUUCGGAUCGUAAAACUCUGUCAUUAGGGAAGAACAAAUGUGUAAGUAACUAUGCACGUCUUGACGGUACCUAAUCAGAAAGCCACGGCUAACUACGUG